Molecule: ribosomal RNA, 410 nt
Filed under: Cytobacillus kochii
Lineage: Bacteria; Bacillati; Bacillota; Bacilli; Caryophanales; Bacillaceae
Description: bacterial SSU rRNA
Rfam family: Bacterial small subunit ribosomal RNA
Source: RNAcentral
UAGCGGCGGACGGGUGAGUAACACGUGGGCAACCUGCCUGUAAGACUGGGAUAACUCCGGGAAACCGGGGCUAAUACCGGAUAAUAUCUAUUUAUACAUAUAAUUAGAUUGAAAGAUGGUUCUGCUAUCACUUACAGAUGGGCCCGCGGCGCAUUAGCUAGUUGGUGAGGUAACGGCUCACCAAGGCGACGAUGCGUAGCCGACCUGAGAGGGUGAUCGGCCACACUGGGACUGAGACACGGCCCAGACUCCUACGGGAGGCAGCAGUAGGGAAUCUUCCGCAAUGGACGAAAGUCUGACGGAGCAACGCCGCGUGAGUGAUGAAGGUUUUCGGAUCGUAAAACUCUGUUGUUAGGGAAGAACAAGUAUCGGAGUAACUGCCGGUACCUUGACGGUACCUAACCAGAAAG